GCGUGAGUGAAGAAGGCCCUAGGGUUGUAAAGCUCUUUCAGCGGGGAAGAUGAUGACGGUACCCGCAGAAGAAGCCCCGGCUAACUCCGUGCCAGCAGCCGCGGUAAUACGGAGGGGGCUAGCGUUGCUCGGAAUUACUGGGCGUAAAGGGCGCGUAGGCGGAUUUUUAAGUCAUGUGUGAAAGCCCCGGGCUCAACCCGGGAAUUGCGCUUGAUACUGGAAAUCUAGAGUUCUGGAGAGGGUGGUGGAAUUCCCAGUGUAGAGGUGAAAUUCGU
Molecule: ribosomal RNA, 275 nt
Filed under: uncultured bacterium
Lineage: Bacteria
Description: partial 16S ribosomal RNA
Rfam family: Bacterial small subunit ribosomal RNA
Source: RNAcentral